Molecule: long non-coding RNA, 206 nt
Filed under: Pongo abelii (Sumatran orangutan)
Lineage: Eukaryota; Metazoa; Chordata; Mammalia; Primates; Hominidae
Description: lincRNA
Source: RNAcentral
AGGUUACUUGGUACAGUGGUCGACAAAACGUUGAAAUGUUGAUGUUUAAGGGCUGUUGAUUGCUGGCAGCAAAGAAGUCCAACUGUGCUGGCACCCGAGAUAGCGUCUUCACAUUUUCUUCCAGGAUCAUCACCUUUGUUCUAAAUAGCUCCCACAUAGUGUGAACAGAAGUCACAUGUUUUAGAUUUUCUGCCUUGGCACCCAGG